UAGCCUAACGGCUGAACCAGCAACUUGGAGGAAUGAAUGGCGAAAGCUGAUUGUACCGAUAUCAUCGAAUAAAAUUCUGGGUGGAAUAUGAUAAUGACAAUUUCUGAUAUUUCUUGACCAAACUACGUGCCAGCAGUCGCGGUAAUACGUUAUAGAUCAGUGUUAUUCAUCUUUAUUGGGUUUAAAGGGUACCUAGACGGUAAAUUAAGCCACUAAUAUAUAGAGUUUAAUGUGAUGGGGCUGAGAUGUACUUGUAGAAAUGAAAUUUUGUGAUACCCGCACAGUCAUAGGCGAAAGCAUCUCUUUAUGUAUUAACUGACGUUG
This 324-nucleotide ribosomal RNA is filed under the name Malmidea coralliformis. RNAcentral's name for it is "SSU rRNA". It matches the Rfam family "Bacterial small subunit ribosomal RNA", at positions 372 to 748 of the family's 1533-position model. The record is from RNAcentral. Lineage: Eukaryota; Fungi; Ascomycota; Lecanoromycetes; Lecanorales; Malmideaceae.